RNAcentral lists this ribosomal RNA (427 nucleotides) under uncultured bacterium. RNAcentral describes it as "partial 16S ribosomal RNA". It matches the Rfam family "Bacterial small subunit ribosomal RNA", at positions 355 to 774 of the family's 1533-position model. The record is from RNAcentral.
UGGGGAAUAUUGGACAAUGGGCGAAAGCCUGAUCCAGCCAUGCCGCGUGUGUGAAGAAGGUCUUCGGAUUGUAAAGCACUUUAAGUUGGGAGGAAGGGCAUUAACCUAAUACGUUAGUGUUUUGACGUUACCGGCAGAAUAAGCACCGGCUAACUCUGUGCCAGCAGCCGCGGUAAUACAGAGGGUGCAAGCGUUAAUCGGAAUUACUGGGCGUAAAGCGCGCGUAGGUGGUUUGUUAAGUUGGAUGUGAAAUCCCCGGGCUCAACCUGGGAACUGCAUUCAAAACUGACUGACUAGAGUAUGGUAGAGGGUGGUGGAAUUUCCUGUGUAGCGGUGAAAUGCGUAGAUAUAGGAAGGAACACCAGUGGCGAAGGCGACCACCUGGACUAAUACUGACACUGAGGUGCGAAAGCGUGGGGAGCAAACA